CCGGUACGAAUGCGCAGGCUGAUGCGCAGCAGCGAGCCCAAGGUCUGCGGCCCAAAAGCUCUGCACGUUGGGUCGGCCAGGACGUCGUCGAUGUACGAGCGCGCCGAGGGGAUGACCAGCAAGGGCACCAGGA
RNAcentral lists this ribosomal RNA (133 nucleotides) under uncultured bacterium. RNAcentral describes it as "partial 16S ribosomal RNA". The record is from RNAcentral.